This 72-nucleotide transfer RNA is filed under the name Sus scrofa (pig). It matches the Rfam family "tRNA". Rfam says of the family: Transfer RNA (tRNA) molecules are approximately 80 nucleotides in length. Their secondary structure includes four short double-helical elements and three loops (D, anti-codon, and T loops). The record is from Rfam by way of RNAcentral. Lineage: Eukaryota; Metazoa; Chordata; Mammalia; Artiodactyla; Suidae.
UCCCUGGUGGUCUAAUGGUUAGGACUUGGCGCUUUCACCACUGUGGCCCAGGUUCAGUCCCUGGUCUGGGAA